RNAcentral lists this ribosomal RNA (440 nucleotides) under uncultured bacterium. Its description in RNAcentral is "partial 16S ribosomal RNA". It matches the Rfam family "Bacterial small subunit ribosomal RNA", at positions 338 to 795 of the family's 1533-position model. The record is from RNAcentral.
CCUACGGGUGGCAGCAGUGGGGAAUAUUGCACAAUGGGGGAAACCCUGAUGCAGCGACGCCGCGUGCAUGAAGAAGGCCUUCGUUAUGUAAAGCUCUAUCAGCAGGGAAGAAAAUCACGGUACCUGAAUAACAAUCCCCGGCUAACUCCGUGCCAGCAGCCGCGGUAAUACGGAGGGGGCCAGCGUUAUCCGGAAUUACUGGGUGUAAAGGGUGAGGAGGCGGCAUGGUAAGCCAGAUGUGAAAGCCUUGGGCUUAACCCGAGGAUUGCAUUUGGAACUAUCCAGCUUGAGUACAGGAGAGGAAGGCGGAAUUCCUAGUGUAGCGGUGAAAUGCGUAGAUAUUAGGAAGAACACCAGUGGCGAAGGCGGCUUGCUGGAGUGAAACUGACGCUGAGGCACGAAAGCGUGGGGAGCGAACAGGAUUAGAUACCCGAGUAGUC